CGGUGAAUACGUUCCCGGGCCUUGUACACACCGCCCGUCACGCCAUGGGAGUUGGUGCCGCCUGAAAAGACCUAAAGUCUUGACGGCAGUACCGAUGACUGGGGUG
RNAcentral lists this ribosomal RNA (106 nucleotides) under uncultured bacterium. Its description in RNAcentral is "partial 16S ribosomal RNA". It matches the Rfam family "Bacterial small subunit ribosomal RNA", at positions 1360 to 1482 of the family's 1533-position model. The record is from RNAcentral.